RNAcentral lists this ribosomal RNA (251 nucleotides) under uncultured bacterium. Its description in RNAcentral is "partial 16S ribosomal RNA". It matches the Rfam family "Bacterial small subunit ribosomal RNA", at positions 92 to 334 of the family's 1533-position model. The record is from RNAcentral.
UAACCGGCGAACGGGUGCGUAACACGUGAGCACCUGUCCGUUUGGUGGUGGGGGACGUAGGCCGGGCUAACGCCCCGGGGUAAUACCGCAUACGGUUGCCGAGGGGAGUCCCUUGGCAAAGAAACCUCCGGGGCACAGAGAGGGGCUCGCGGCCUAUCAGCUAGUUGGGGGGGGUAAUGGCCCACCAAGGCGACGACGGGUAGCUGGUCUGAGAGGAUGGCCAGCCACAUUGGGACUGAGAGACGGCCCAG